GAUGAACGCUGGCGGCGUGCCUAAUACAUGCAAGUCGAGCGAACAGAUAAGGAGCUUGCUCCUUUGACGUUAGCGGCGGACGGGUGAGUAACACGUGGGUAACCUACCUAUAAGACUGGAAUAACUCCGGGAAACCGGGGCUAAUGCCGGAUAACAUUUAGAACCGCAUGGUUCUAAAGUGAAAGAUGGUUUUGCUAUCACUUAUAGAUGGACCCGCGCCGUAUUAGCUAGUUGGUAAGGUAACGGCUUACCAAGGCAACGAUACGUAGCCGACCUGAGAGGGUGGUCGGCCACACUGGAACUGAGACACGGUCCAGACUCCUACGGGAGGCAGCAGUAGGGAAUCCUUCGCAAAGGGCGAAAGCCUGACGGAGCAACGCCGCGUGAGUGAUGAAGGUCUUCGGAUCGUAAAACUCUGUUAUUAGGGAAGAACAAAUGUGUAAGUAACUGUGCACGUCUUGACGGUACCUAAUCAGAAAGCCACGGCUAACUACGUG
RNAcentral lists this ribosomal RNA (497 nucleotides) under uncultured bacterium. RNAcentral describes it as "partial 16S ribosomal RNA". It matches the Rfam family "Bacterial small subunit ribosomal RNA", at positions 28 to 507 of the family's 1533-position model. The record is from RNAcentral.